AGCAGUAGCCGCGGGAAUACGUAGGUCCCGAGCGUUGUCCGGAUUUAUUGGGCGUAAAGCGAGCGCAGGCGGUUAGAAAAGUCUGAGGUGAAAGGCAGUGGCUCAACCAUUGUAGGCUUUGGAAACUGUUUAACUUGAGUGCAGAAGGGGAGAGUGGAAUUCCAUGUGUAGCGGUGAAAUGCGUAGAUAUAUGGAGGAACACCGGUGGCGAAAGCGGCUCUCUGGUCUGUAACUGACGCUGAGGCUCGAAAGCGUGGGGAGCGAACAGGAUUAGAUACCCCUGUAGUCCCUGUCUCUUAUACA
This 303-nucleotide ribosomal RNA is filed under the name uncultured bacterium. RNAcentral describes it as "partial 16S ribosomal RNA". It matches the Rfam family "Bacterial small subunit ribosomal RNA", at positions 507 to 808 of the family's 1533-position model. The record is from RNAcentral.